Molecule: ribosomal RNA, 465 nt
Filed under: uncultured bacterium
Lineage: Bacteria
Description: partial 16S ribosomal RNA
Rfam family: Bacterial small subunit ribosomal RNA
Source: RNAcentral
GACGAACGCUGGCGGCGUGCUUAACACAUGCAAGUCGAACGGAAAGGCCCUGCUUGCAGGGUCCUCGAGUGGCGAACGGGUGAGUAACACGUGGGUGAUCUGCCCUGCACUUCGGGAUAAGCCUGGGAAACUGGGUCUAAUACCGGAGAGGAGCCAUUUUUAGUGUGAUGGUUGGAAAGUUUUUUCGGUGUAGGAUGAGCUCGCGGCCUAUCAGCUUGUUGGUGGGGUAAUGGCCUACCAAGGCGGCGACGGGUAGCCGGCCUGGGAGGGUGGACGGCCACAUUGGGACUGAGAUACGGCCCAGACUCCUACGGGAGGCAGCAGUGGGGAAUAUUGCACAAUGGGCGCAAGCCUGAUGCAGCGACGCCGCGUGGGGGAUGACGGCCUUCGGGUUGUAAACUCCUUUCGCUAGGGACGAAGCUUUUUGUGACGGUACCUAGAUAAGAAGCACCGGCUAACUACGUG